CAGCCGCCGCGGGAAUACGGAGGGUGCAAGCGUUAAUCGGAAUUACUGGGCGUAAAGCGCACGCAGGCGGUUUGUUAAGUCAGAUGUGAAAUCCCCGAGCUUAACUUGGGAACUGCAUUUGAAACUGGCAAGCUAGAGUCUUGUAGAGGGGGGUAGAAUUCCAGGUGUAGCGGUGAAAUGCGUAGAGAUCUGGAGGAACACCGGUGGCGAAGGCGGCCAUCUGGGACAACACUGACGCUGAAGCACGAAAGCGUGGGGAGCAAACCGGAUUAGAUACCCGCGUAGUCCCUGUCUCUUAUAC
RNAcentral lists this ribosomal RNA (301 nucleotides) under uncultured bacterium. RNAcentral's name for it is "partial 16S ribosomal RNA". It matches the Rfam family "Bacterial small subunit ribosomal RNA", at positions 509 to 807 of the family's 1533-position model. The record is from RNAcentral.